RNA transcript from Cervus elaphus (red deer), 3483 nucleotides. It is a transcript of the gene named acetylcholine receptor subunit gamma-like, with no coding region annotated. The record is from RefSeq and is a predicted model, not a curated record. The transcript has 5 exons. Lineage: Eukaryota; Metazoa; Chordata; Mammalia; Artiodactyla; Cervidae.
GAGUUUGAGUACACUCUAGGAGUUGGUAAUGGAUAGGGAAGCCUGGCGUGCUGCAGUCCAUGGGGUCACAAAGAGUCGGACACAACUGAGCAACUGAACUGAACUGAACUAACUUUUUAUAUCUGCAAAAGCUGUUUCCAAACCAGAUCACAUUCUGAAGUCCUGAGGGUUAGGACAUCAACACAUCUUCUGGGGAACACAAUCCAACCCUCAAUAGAAAGUGACUCACCCCAAAUCACCCAGAGGAACAGGCAGAAUCCCAAGGCCUGAGUUCUGAAUCAUGGCCGGAGCAGCCUGUCAUCUGAAGAGCCUGGCUUCCACCUCUCCUGAGAUUUCAAUAUGUCAGCAGCCAGUUUGUGCCCGCUUCUGUGUCCAGCCGGCUAUGUUUAGCCAGCAGAGCCAGCAUAGUUCUGGGUCCCACCAUCAUGUCCCGGGACACUGCCCUCAAAGGUGGCCUGGUCAGCUCUGGGUCCCAGACCUACAGCACCAAGCAGAUCAGUUUGCAGCUGAGCCAGAAAGAUGGUCAGACCAUCGAGUGGAUUUUCAUUGACGCCGGGGCCUUCACAGAAAACGGCGAGUGGGUGAUCCGGCACUGGCCAGCCACGAUGCUGCUGGACAAGGUGUCCCCAGCCGAGGAGGCAGGCCGCCAGAAGGUCGUCUUCUACCUGUUCAUCCAGCGCAAGCGCCUCUUCUACAUCAUCAACAUCAUCGCGCCCUGUGUCCUCAUCUUCUCCGUGGCCAUCCUCAUCUACUUCCUUCCUGCCAAGGCCAAGAAGGUGCCCGAGACCUCCCAGGCCGUGCCACUCAUCAGCAAGUACGGCUGACUCUAAUUCCUGAGCCCACCUCCUUCCUUCCCUUCUCAGGAACGCCAUCCAGGCCUGUGUGGAGACCUGCAACCUCAUUGCCCGCACCCAGCACCAGCAGACUCACUCUGACAGUGGACAGUUCAAGCUUUCGAAAUAGGAAAAUCACCUCGUGAGAGCGCACAAGCUGGCAGUAAUCCUUUUCUCUGUAUGUGUGUGUUUGUCCGAAGAGGCUGGGAGGGCUCCGGCUGGCCCCUCCUGCUCAGCGAAGGGACGUCCCCCAGCCGCGUGCUCCCCUUUUGCACUCGUUCCUGGAGGACAGAUUCCGCUAGACAGCCUCCAGCGUCGCUGACUUUAUUAAGCGGAAUAAACGGAACACGUGACUUUAUAAUAGGCAGACUUUUUUUUUAAUGGGGUUUUUGGGGGGAGUUCACCUUUCAUCUUUCUGUGUGCUGUCCAGACGCCUCCCAGACACUCUGUCGUGCUCGCCUCUGCUGUACGGAGGGCGUCGUGACCACGUGUACCAGCCAGAGCUGUUGACUGAGAGUGAGCAGUGUUAGGAAUGUCUGUGCAUCCAGGAAAAGCAUUUUGUUGGAGAGUCCCGCAACUGCUUAUAAAUGCUCUCUUCCAGAUCUGCCAUUAUUGAGACAUUUUGUUUAUUUCACACCCCUUGUCCCCCAAGACCACCCUUUCGGAACGUGUGUUACUGAUGCUGUAGUCUCCUGCCUUACACCCUCCAGUCUUCCCUCCUGUGGGACUCUUUGCUUUUAGGCACUGCUGCACUUAGAAUUGUAAGCGGUGGGCCACACAGGUCUCACUGAGGCAGCUUAGAAGGUAGGAUUGUAGAUUAAACUGCACCAAACUGCAGUUUGAUGAGGAGCGAGGUUAUACUAGAGGUUCCAAGGGCAGGAUUUGGAGCUGAGGGCAGUUUCUGACCCAGGUUCCCAGACGGGCAGGACCUGUUGUGUCCAGGCUGUCACUGUGGGUUCUUGCAUUUCCCUCGUGGAGGAGGGGAAGCAGAGGUUGGCUGCUGUCAGGUGUUAACAUGGUCAGUUCUGUGAUCUCAAAACUGGGACAUCUGGAGAAAAGGUGACUGUGAUGGACAGCUUUCCUUGCGUGGUUCUACCUGUCUGCAAUGGUGGAGAAACCUGUCAGUCCUCAUCAGCUGGUAAACGUGUUAGCUGGUGUGUGCUGAUCCAGGGAGCCCAACACAAACCUUGUGGGCUGCUGCAGGCAGGCUCUAAAAAUGGCCUGGCACAUGCCAGAGAAGCCAGGUGAUCUGACUCCAGAAGGACUGAAGUCAGAGAGGUCAGGGAGCACCUAGGGUUGGAAUAAGUACCAAGGACCAGUCUUCGGCAACCUCCGAGGAGUGCCAUCUUACUUGGCUCUUGUGAGCGCAGAUUGCAGUACCUUAAAUUAAGGCCUCCCCUAAAACCUAUGCUUGCAGGCCGGGGGGCUUGACCACCUGGUGUCAGAGAAGUCAUAGAGUAACAGGCAUUUCCUUCUGGUAUUGAUAUUAUUCUUCCUACUUUCCAACUCCUGAACACACUCUGAUUACCACUAUCUUGGGGUGCUUAUUCCUAAAAGAAUAUAGAGGCCUAUAGGGGCCAAAAGGGAGGUGCUUCCAUUGCAGGUGAACCUAGAUCAGAGGUCCAGCAGCGAUUUAAACUCCAGGAGUAUGAAGAGUAAACUCUAGUGCCCAGACAGCUGUGAAGGGCUCACAAAUACAGGAGCAGCGUUGGCCCAAGCAGGGGACAAGGCUUCCUCCUGAGCUUAGACCCCAGGGAGGUCUUCACUUUUGCCUAAACUCAGAUUUGCCAUGAAAAUUCCAAACAGAGCAGAUGUUUGGAUUUGCCCACUGGGCAUCUACCUGACUGUUAGUGUGUGCAUGUGGGUGCAUAUGUGUGUAACAUGUUCACAAGUGAAGGUUUUGUUGGGCCGAGUGCUUAAUUGUCCAUAUUUGUGUUUUUUGGUUUUUUUUUUUGGGGGGGGUGGGGGUGUCUCAUUUUGAUUUCUUAGUCUCUUGUGUUUUCUAGAGCUGCUCGUGUCAUUCCACGCCCCCCCCACCACCACCUUCCUCUUUGUCUUUGCAGUAUUUGAAAGUUAUUUUUUCCCCAUCAAAAAUAUGCUGGCUAGAGCAAGAGUUAUUUCUGCUAGGCAGCAUCUUGCCCUAGAUCUCUCCAGAUCUUCUGCCUAACAGCUUUAAAUCCGAGAUCAAAGAGUCAGUUUCUCCAAACCACCUGUUGUUCACACUAGUUUGCAAUGUCUUUUCAAUUCCUAAUGACUCCCUGGACCCCCGUGACACUGAAACAGGACGCAGUUGCGGUUAAGGUGUCACCAGUUCCAGAGAAACAGGAAGCAAGGCGCACCCGGCGUGGGCCAGCCUGCAGACGUGUGGGGUGGCUGCUGGAGGCGGGGCGCCCCUGUGCCCAGACGGGCUGCUCCCAGGACCCCCAGAAGUCGGCCCCACGCCUCACCUGCUCUUCUCCUCUUAGCCUCCCAUUCAUGUGUGUGUGUGUUUGCCCUGUGACGGCAGUGACAGUUUUCCACCCAGAGAGAUGCUUGUGGUCCACGAUGCUCCAAGAAUGAAUUUCCAAGUGUUUGCCAGUGGAGGAGCAGAGGCUGUGACAAGAGUGAUUUAUGUUGCGCUUUCAGAGCAGUUGUCUACUGCAGUAAUAAA